RNAcentral lists this non-coding RNA (24 nucleotides) under Arabidopsis thaliana (thale cress). Lineage: Eukaryota; Viridiplantae; Streptophyta; Magnoliopsida; Brassicales; Brassicaceae. The record is from RNAcentral.
CAAAGCUUAAUGUUGAUGAGUGAA